CAGAAGAGGACAGUGGAACUCCAUGUGUAGCGGUGAAAUGCGUAGAUAUAUGGAAGAACACCAGUGGCGAAGGCGGCUGUCUGGUCUGUAACUGACGCUGAGGCUCGAAAGCAUGGGUAGCGAACAGGAUUAGAUACCCUGGUAGUCCAUGCCGUAAACGAUGAAUGCUAGGUGUUGGAGGGUUUCCGCCCUUCAGUGCCGCAGCUAACGCAUUAAGCAUUCCGCCUGGGGAGUACGACCGCAAGGUUGAAACUCAAAGGAAUUGACGGGGGCCCGCACAAGCGGUGGAGCAUGUGGUUUAAUUCGAAGCAACGCGAAGAACCUUACCAGGUCUUGACAUCUUUUGAUCACCUGAGAGAUCAGGUUUCCCCUUCGGGGGCAAAAUGACAGGUGGUGCAUGGUUGUCGUCAGCUCGUGUCGUGAGAUGUUGGGUUAAGUCCCGCAACGAGCGCAACCCUUAUGACUAGUUGCCAGCAUUUAGUUGGGCACUCUAGUAAGACUGCCGGUGACAAACCGGAGGAAGGUGGGGAUGACGUCAAAUCAUCAUGCCCCUUAUGACCUGGGCUACACA
RNAcentral lists this ribosomal RNA (571 nucleotides) under Lacticaseibacillus rhamnosus. RNAcentral describes it as "bacterial SSU rRNA". It matches the Rfam family "Bacterial small subunit ribosomal RNA", at positions 649 to 1220 of the family's 1533-position model. The record is from RNAcentral. Lineage: Bacteria; Bacillati; Bacillota; Bacilli; Lactobacillales; Lactobacillaceae.